Molecule: ribosomal RNA, 409 nt
Filed under: uncultured bacterium
Lineage: Bacteria
Description: bacterial SSU rRNA
Rfam family: Bacterial small subunit ribosomal RNA
Source: RNAcentral
AACGCGAAGAACCUUACCUGGUCUUGACAUGCAGGUGUGGCGCGGGGGAUGAAAGUCCCCCUCCUUCGAGGGAGGUGCACAGGUGGUGCAUGGCUGUUGUCAGUUUGUGCCGUGAGGUGUUUGGUUAAGUUCACCAACGAACGCAACCCCUUUGGUCCGUUGCCAGCGGGUAAAGCCGGGCACUCAGGGCACACUGCCUGUUCACGCAGGAGGAAGGUGGGGAUGACGUCAAGUCAGUAUGGCCCUUACGCCCAGGGCUGCACACGUGCUACAAUGGCCGGUACAGAGGGAUGCGAAGCCGCGAGGCGGAGCCAACCCCACAGAGCCGGCCCCAGUUCAGAUCGGGGUUUGCAACCUGACCUCGCGAAGGGCGCGCCCCUGGCGGGGGGGAGCAACGAUGUUGAAGUGA